CCUACGGGAGGCAGCAGUGAGGAAUAUUGGUCAAUGGGCGCGAGCCUGAACCAGCCAAGUAGCGUGAAGGAUGACUGCCCUACGGGUUGUAAACUUCUUUUAUCGGGGAGCAAAAGACGCCACGCGUGGCGUCCCGAGAGUACCCGAAGAAAAAGCAUCGGCUAACUCCGUGCCAGCAGCCGCGGUAAUACGUAGGGGGCAAGCGUUAUCCGGAUUUACUGGGUGUAAAGGGAGCGUAGACGGCAGGGCAAGUCUGGAGUGAAAGGCAGGGGCCCAACCCCUGGACUGCUCUGGAAACUGUGCGGCUGGAGUGCAGGAGAGGUAAGUGGAAUUCCUGGUGUAGCGGUGAAAUGCGUAGAUAUUAGGAGGAACACCAGUGGCGAAGGCAGCUUACUGGCCUGUAACUGACGUUGAGGCUCGAAAGCGUGGGUAGCAAACAGGAUUAGAUACCCCAGUAGUC
This 460-nucleotide ribosomal RNA is filed under the name uncultured bacterium. RNAcentral describes it as "partial 16S ribosomal RNA". It matches the Rfam family "Bacterial small subunit ribosomal RNA", at positions 338 to 795 of the family's 1533-position model. The record is from RNAcentral.